CGCGGUUCUCUUCAUGUAGAAAGCAUAUGUAUGAUUACUAUUAUACCCUUCCCCUUGUGGAUUGUGCCCCCAAUCUUGUGGUUCAUGAUCAUGGUAAUAUCCGUACCCGUAAGGUGGUGGUGCUUCUUCGUCAUCUUCUUCAAUAUCGUGCUCUUCCUCUUCGAUGUGGAUGUGACCCGAAGAAGAAGAGCGCAAUUCGGAAUCUGAAUCGGACAGGUGUAUGUGUGACCCACCGUCGAUCUCGUCGCUCCCGGAAGCAUCGCCGCCAUGCGAAAUGGAAGUUGAAGAAGUUGAGGCCCUGAUUUUGUUUUUGGUUUUGGUUUUUGUAUUUUUAGAGGGUUUUCCUUGGUCGGAGGGCAAUGUGAGGACUGGGGAGCUGAGAGAGGAGGGGGAGGAGCCGGUGACGGAGGCGGAGGCGGUGGCGAAGACGAGGUCGUGGUCGGCGAAUUUACGUAGCGCUUCGCCGAUGUCUCUGAGGGAGUGGAAAUAGGCGACGUGAGCAGCGGCGAGGGCGUAGCGGUGGUCGGAAGCGGCUCUGAGGAAGUCCCGUCGUUCUCUGCAGAGAGUGACGAGUGGGAGGUGGUCCACCUUGGAGCCUCCGCAUCCCAUGUUCGUCACGGCAGAAGCAGGGUCAUGAUGGUCAUUCCACCAUUGAGACAAAGAAAGAAGAAGGAGUGGUGUUUGUUUGUGUUGAUGAGUUUCGUACUGUUCAGUGUUUCAGUCAGCUCUGCAUUCUUUUAGAGAUCAAAAGCUAACAAACCACAAGAAUCUAACAAGAAUGCUAUGAAACAAAGAACGUCUAGAAUCACAUUGAUACCUUUGAAUGGAGCAACCCUGGACCGAUAAGGUGGCUUGCAAGCCUCAAGAAGAAGUGCAACCUCCUUCCCAACAUUAGAGGCAGUCUCAAACUCAUCCCUGAUUUCCUGAACAACCUCUUUUAAAUCCCUGGUUCCAUGAGGAGACAAAGUGGUCAAGCUACUCACUUUUGAAGAAGAAUCACCCCCAUCAACUGCCGAGACGGUUGCUUCUACCUCAAAAGUCACCCCUUUCUUCCUUCCUAACCGCUCCCCAUCCUCCUCCUCCUCCUCAGGGGAGCUCCUAGAAACAAUGGUGUCAGGGCUGCUGCUAGUCUUAAUCUCCUUCUCAUGAAGGGAACCAGAACCACCACCACUAUCAUCACUACUUCCAUGGAACCUCACGGUCUUAUUGGAACUCCCCUCACCAUUUUUCCUUUGUUGUUUUCGUUGUUGGGGCAUUGAUACUGGCACUGCCUUUGAAUUUGAGGUACCUUCUCCAAAAUCCCUCUCCCUAAAAUGUUGUUUUUGUUGUUGGUGGUUUUGCAUUGGUGGUGCUUUUUCCUCAUUCAAUAUCUUCUUCUUCUCCUUCUCCCUGUGGUUCUGGAGAACCUCCUUCAGCACUUCUUGCUCAGUCUCAUCUUCCAAUUCUGGAAUCCNNNNNNNNNNNNNNNNNNNNNNNNNNNNNNNNNNNNNNNNNNNNNNNNNNNNNNNNNNNNNNNNNNNNNNNNNNNNNNNNUCCCCUGAGAAGAUAGAUAACCCGAGUAACCAUUGUCAUAACUAUCAAACACAUUCAAAAAAUCCCAUGCUGAAACCCUCGGCGGAGAUGGGGGUGCCGGAGGCGGCGGAGGCGCCGCCGGCGAAGCUGUCCUCUGUUGACCGUAGUAAGAAUACUCCGCCCCCGGAGGCGGCGGAGAAGAACCGCUCGGAAACCCAAAAUAACCACCAGCACCACCAUUGUAACCAAACCCGUAUCCACCAUAACUAUUUUGCGGGUCGGGCCAUUGACCCGACUCUGCAACACGGGUCUGUGGCUCUUCGUAGAUCAUGGAUCUUCCAGGAGGCGCGGUUCUCUUCAUGUAGAAAGCAUAUGUAUGAUUACUAUUAUACCCUUCCCCUUGUGGAUUGUGCCCCCAAUCUUGUGGUUCAUGAUCAUGGUAAUAUCCGUACCCGUAAGGUGGUGGUGCUUCUUCGUCAUCUUCUUCAAUAUCGUGCUCUUCCUCUUCGAUGUGGAUGUGACCCGAAGAAGAAGAGCGCAAUUCGGAAUCUGAAUCGGACAGGUGUAUGUGUGACCCACCGUCGAUCUCGUCGCUCCCGGAAGCAUCGCCGCCAUGCGAAAUGGAAGUUGAAGAAGUUGAGGCCCUGAUUUUGUUUUUGGUUUUGGUUUUUGUAUUUUUAGAGGGUUUUCCUUGGUCGGAGGGCAAUGUGA
Molecule: long non-coding RNA, 2223 nt
Filed under: Arachis ipaensis
Lineage: Eukaryota; Viridiplantae; Streptophyta; Magnoliopsida; Fabales; Fabaceae
Description: long non-coding RNA (AIPA_LNC001815)
Source: RNAcentral